UACGAAGGGUGCAAGCGUUGCUCGGAAUUAUUGGGCGUAAAGGGUAGGUAGGUGGUUACGUAUGUCUGAGGUGAAAGCCCCGAGCUUAACUUGGGAAGUGCCUUGGAAACGGCGUAACUAGAGUACUGGAGAGGUUUGUGGAAUUCCCGGUGUAGUGGUGGAAUGCGUAGAUAUCGGGAGGAACAUCAGUGGCGCAAGCGGCGCCCUGGCCUUAGCCUGACGCUCAGGGGCGAAAGCGUGGGGAGCGAACGGG
This 253-nucleotide ribosomal RNA is filed under the name uncultured bacterium. RNAcentral describes it as "partial 16S ribosomal RNA". It matches the Rfam family "Bacterial small subunit ribosomal RNA", at positions 524 to 776 of the family's 1533-position model. The record is from RNAcentral.